AAGAAGAGUCAGGACUUGACUGAACAAUAAUAACAAAGUUUGGAAUGAAGGCUUCCAGCUUUUGCCAGCAUUGAGAUGAUCACAUAAGUAUCUUCCCAUAUCCCAAGAAUCUUCCUAGAAUAGAAGAGAAAAAGAGCAGAGAAUCAAGUGAAUUGAUAUUUCAGAUCAAAGGAUUGCAAGGGGCAUUGAAGAUCAUCUGGUCCAUUUUACAGAUAAACUAAGGCCCAGCCUGCCAAAAAACAGAUGAAGAUUAGCUGAAAAGGGGAACUGAGACAUUAAAGGAUUCGUUGGUGCCAGGAGAGGGCAGCAGAAACCUUACUCCAAACAAGACAACUGAGCCUAGUUUUGCUCAGAAGAGGAAGAAAGACAAUAUGUAAAUGAGUGUUGGUGAUGGACAAACUAAGCUACUACCUUGUGAGCUUUGACAAGUCAAAGAGCACCAUACCAGAGUUUCCCAGCAGCCAAACCUAAUAAAGAGUACAGCCCUGAGGAGUGACUUGUGAGGAGUGACCAGCCAAACAGUGGGACCAUGAUCAUGAUCCUCCAAGAAGAUCAUAAAUGGUAAUUACUUCAUUGGGCAUGAAUUGGAUUUCAGUGAUGCAGAGCUGCACAGAGUUGUCGGCCUCACUCUAUCCUCCAGAGUCAUCACAGUCCAGUGGCAAGAGAAAAGUCAAGACAGCUGGCAGUGGCCCAGGAUGCGGU
Phascolarctos cinereus (koala) is the source of this 702-nucleotide non-coding RNA. The record is from RefSeq and is a predicted model, not a curated record. NCBI's taxonomy places the organism in Eukaryota, Metazoa, Chordata, Mammalia, Diprotodontia, Phascolarctidae.